This 1597-nucleotide long non-coding RNA is filed under the name Bos taurus (domestic cattle). Its description in RNAcentral is "long non-coding RNA NONBTAT028134". The record is from RNAcentral. Lineage: Eukaryota; Metazoa; Chordata; Mammalia; Artiodactyla; Bovidae.
UACUUGCAUUGAUAUCAAUAUCACAUGCUUUAUUGUCUGCCUGAAAACACCCGAGUCCAUUCCUCCCACACUUAUAUGUGCCCAGUACAGGCACAUAUCUUUCGAUGUGCCAGUUUAGACAGAGACUGCCCUGCCAAGUUCAUUUGUGCCUUCUGUUUGCUGCCGGGUAUAAGGAUAAGUGAGUGAGUGAGAAUUAUGUCAGUUGAAUAUUGGAAUUAAAGGUCUGAAUCCAAGUGGUUCUACUUUUUGUUACUUCAUUGUAACAAAAUUCUAGGCAGGACCCUUUGAACAUUUUAUCCUUCAUCUUUCACAUGUGCAAUGAUAGGCACAUGCAAAACUUUUAUUAUUCAUAUAAAGUUAAAGAAAAAUGUUCUAUAGAUCUGUUAGGAGAAGGUUUUUCAGUCUGAAGCUUGUAUUGCAUUGCAGCAAUAACUGCUACCACAAAAACGUGGUCUGACUAAAGAGACUCACAGCCUUCAUCAAUGGUUCACCUGUUUAGCAAGAUUUAAUACCACCAACUAGAUUCCACUGUGACAAAGUAAUAAGAGCCUUACAGUUCUCUGUAUUGGGGUUUAACCUUUUCCAGAAUGGGGCAUAAAGAAUGACUAUAAUAAAAAAGAAUUAUAAGGAAGUCUAACUGGCUUUUCUCAGUAUAAAAUGCUUUGUAAAGAGAAUUAACACUUCAUCUUUUAGCUGAUUUUCAGCUAUACAAUUUUAUGGUCUGUAGUUUUCUGUAGUAUUUCCUUCCAACUUGUACGGGCAUAAGUCUUGGGAAGUAAUUUGCCUGACUCGUGCAGUAGCAAUGUAAAAAGUAAGAUGCUAUUUCAAAUAUGAAAAAUUGAUUUCAAAAAUCCAUGGGUUACCCUUAAGAGCAUACCUGUCCAUUUUUUCUGUUUUUAGUAUGCAAGUUUAUGUACACUCAAGUCUAUGUAUUUAUUAGGAGAAUAUUUAUAAUUAUAAAACUGUAAUAUUUAAAGCUAUUAUUAGAAUAAUUUUCUUAUGGGAAACUUGGCAUGCCUAAUGUUAACUUUAAGGACAAGAGAAGUCUUUCACACAUCAUGAAUGAAGAAGUUGGAAUCAACCUCAGAAUGAGAUGCCAUAAUUAUAUGGAUUCUUGCUUAUUUGUUUUUUUGGUUAUUUAGCUUCCUGCAGAUGUUUAAUUGACUUUUUUUACCCUCUCAAUUUUAGCCUUACAAAAGCAUGGCAUAUUUAGAAAUUAUUUUACCAUGAUUAUUAUUUUAUUUUAAGGAAAUUUGGGUAGCAGACAGUAUUUUCCUUUGCUUCAUUUUAGCAGUUUUCCUGUGUUUCAGGAAGAGCCAGCCUUAUUUUCCCACUGCCAUCUUCACGCUUCCUUGCCAGACUCCGAAUAAAUGUCAUACCAGAAAGCAAAGACAGUUAUUACUAUACAGUGUACUGAGAGUUUAUGGUUCUCAUCAUGCUUUUCAUUUUACUUUCUUGCCAAACAAGAAAAAUAAUUUAAUGUUGAUUAUGUGUUUUUUAUAUUAUAAAAAGGGAAGUUAUUCAGGUUCUAGACUUUUUAUUAGAGCAUUUGAUGCUGUAUAUGUUAAUAGUAAGUAUGUCAUUAUCAUUUUAAAAU